This 540-nucleotide ribosomal RNA is filed under the name Hemideina maori (mountain stone weta). Its description in RNAcentral is "partial 16S ribosomal RNA". It matches the Rfam family "Bacterial large subunit ribosomal RNA", at positions 1805 to 2614 of the family's 2925-position model. Lineage: Eukaryota; Metazoa; Arthropoda; Insecta; Orthoptera; Anostostomatidae. The record is from RNAcentral.
UAUCAAAAACAUGUCUUUAACGAGGAAGUUGUAAAGUCGGGCCUGCCCACUGAUUGUUGAAGGGCCGCGGUAUUUUGACCGUGCAAAGGUAGCAUAAUCAUUAGUCUUUUAAUUGAAGGCUGGAAUGAAUGGUUUGACGAGGCAUUAGCUGUCUCAUUAUGAAAUUUUGAAGUUAACUUUUUAGUCMAAAGGCYAAAUUGUAGUUAAAGGACGAGMMGACCCUAUAGAGCUUUAUAAGUGCUAUUAAUAAUUAUUUUUGGGCUGUUGUGAUUAAUUAAUUUAAGGUAGUUAUUGGGUUGGGGUGACUUGAAGAUUAAAUAAACUCUUUAUGAUUAAAAACAUAGAUUGAUGGUAUAAUGAUCCACUUUUAGUGAUUAAAAGAUUAAGUUACCUUAGGGAUAACAGCGUAAUUUUUUUUGAGAGUUCUUAUCAACAAAAAAGAUUGCGACCUCGAUGUUGGAUUAAGGGAAUAUUAUUGGGUGUAGCUGCUUAAUAAAUAGGUCUGUUCGACCUUUAAAUCCUUACAUGAUCUGAGUUCAA